Molecule: non-coding RNA, 94 nt
Filed under: chicken gut metagenome
Description: yjdF RNA
Rfam family: azaaromatic riboswitch aptamer (yjdF RNA)
Source: RNAcentral
AUUGAAAACAAAAACACAAUCUGGUUGGUAGUCCAGAUGCUACUGUAAAUAGUAGUCAGUAUCCUUCCCUCCGGGAUGUCCCGUUUUCAAUUUA